Anguilla rostrata (American eel) is the source of this 3168-nucleotide long non-coding RNA. RefSeq lists it as uncharacterized. The transcript is spliced from 2 exons. Lineage: Eukaryota; Metazoa; Chordata; Actinopteri; Anguilliformes; Anguillidae. The record is from RefSeq and is a predicted model, not a curated record.
CAUGUCUGCCACAGGUUUUUAACGGAUUUUUGCUGUGCUGAAUCCAGAGGUCUGUGGCGUCAGAGGGCACAAAGGAACCAGGGGGAGCGUGUUUCUGUUUUAGCUUGUUUUGCAGAAAUGUCUGCCUGUGUUAUCUGCCGAUCACGUCUUGUUUUGGUUCUCGGAUCCGAGUGGAUUUCGGCCUCUGUGACGGUGAGAGCGCCCAAAAAAUAAAAACCUCCGCUAGGAUGAAACACAAACACUGACCCACGAUGCAAGGCAAGCUGAGACAAGGGGUCUGAGUUAUUCAGGGGUGUGAGUUAUUCAGGGGUAUGAGUUAUUCAGGGGUCUGAUUUAUUAAGGGGUGUGAGUUAUUCAGGGGUCUGAGCUAAUCAGAGGGAUUUGGUGUUAUUCGGGGGUGUGAGUUAUUCAGAGGGAUUUGGUGUUUUCAGGGGUCUUAUUUAAUCACUGUCUGUAAGGGAGUUCUCUUUGGAAAUGGAGGCUGUGCGACAGAGCAUUCUUAGAAUGGUUUCUGGGCGCAGCACACUUUGUUUGCGGACCAUUGUUGAAAUUCACAGGUAGUGAACUCCCAGGUUCUACUGAAAUCCAGUGGCAAAUCCUUGGAUCCAGUGAAAUCUAGUUUUAACACCCAGGGUCCAGUGAAAUCCAGCGUUGACACCCAGGGUCCAGUAUACUGUAUCCAGUGGUAACUCCCAGGGUCCUUUGCUCCCUGUAGUGACCAGCCCCUGUGCCCUGAUCCCAGAUCAGCCGCUGCAGGAAUGAAAGGUCUGCGGUACACAUGGAGCUGAUUCGCAGAGCGCGGCGUGAGUUAUGGCCUAAAAACACAUAACAACCUCCUAGACCCCCACCAGUCCGGCUUCAGACCUGGCCACUCGACAGAGACCGCACUCCUCUCGGUCAGUGAGUCGCUUCACGCCGCACAAGCAGCCUCCCGUUCGUCCGUCCUGAUCCUCCUAGACCUUUCUGCUGCCUUUGACACAGUCGACCACCCCAUCCUCCUGUCCUCCCUGGCAGCUAUGGGGAUCUGUGGCACAGCACUAGACUGGAUCGAGUCCUACCUCUCCGGUCGCUCCUUCCAAGUCGCCUGGGCCGGUGCAGUAUCGGCACCUCGCCCCCUUGCCACAGGAGUUCCCCAGGGCUCAGUCCUUGGUCCCCUCCUGUUCUCCCUGUACACCCAAUCUCUUGGUCCUGUAAUCUCUGCCCAUGGUUUGUCUUAUCAUUGUUAUGCCGAUGACACCCAACUCUUUCUCUCCUUCCCCCCCUCUGACACACAGGUCUCCGCUUGCAUCUCUGCUUGCCUGAGGGACAUCCAGAGCUGGAUGGAUAACCACCAUCUUAAGCUGAACCCAGGUAAGACAGAGAUGAUCUUCAUUCCUGCUCCAUCCUCUAACCUCCUUGACUUUUCUAUUUCCCUAGGGGUCGCCGUGGUGUCAUCAUCACCCACUGUCAAAAACCUUGGAGUGGUGAUGGACAACAGACUGUCCCUCUCCCAGAACAUCGCGGCGGUGAGUCGAACGUGCAGGUUCUUCCUGUACAACAUCCGGAGAAUCUGUCCCUUCCUCACCACUUAUGCAACCCAGCUCCUGGUUCAAGCGAUGGUCCUGUCCCGCCUGGACUACUGCAACUCCCUGCUGGCUGGUCUGCCAGCAUCCGCCAUCAGACCCCUGCAGCUCAUCCAGAAUGCUGCAGCUCGUCUGGUCUACAACCUCCCCAGACAUUCCCAUGUCACCCCCCCUGCUCACUGACCUCCACUGGCUGCCUGUUAUGGCUCGCAUCAAAUUUAAGACUUUGGUGCUUGCAUACCAGGAGGCUAAGGGGUCAGCACCAGGACACAUCCAGAGGAUCAUCAGACCCUACACACCAGCCAGACCUCUUCGUUCUGCCACCUCUGGACGCUUGGCACCUCCCCCUCUUCGCGUCUGUACUUCCCGUUCACGUCUGCUGUCUGUCCUGGCCCCUCGCUGGUGGAAUGACCUUCCUGUGGCGGUCAGAACAGCAGAGAAUCUGACUACCUUCAAGAGCAGGCUAAAGACUCAUCUCUUCAGGCUGCACCUCUCCCCACCCCUCCCUAGCCUCUAGUUUAGCUCUACUCUGUGUACCUAGUUAGGCUAAUGCGAUCUCGUUAGUUUUGUAUUUGGCAGGAUUGUUUUGUUUGAUUCUGAUUAGGCAAAUGUGAUUUCAGUGCUAGUUUUGUACUUGGCAGGAUUGUUUUGUUUAUUUGCUGAACAGGUUACCCUACAGGGUUGGAGUCUUGAUCUAUGUGGUCACUUCUGGCACUACAAUCUUUACUUCACUCUAGUGUGUUUUUCUGCACCUCUGCACUUUGAACUGAUGCACUUGUUGUACGUCAAUCUGGAUAAGAGCGUCUGCUAAAUGCCUGUAGUGUAAUGUAAUGUAAUGAGGUCCCCUGCAGCUCUGGUUGAUAACAACAGUUCAGAGAAUCGUGUUCAGCCAGUUCAAUUCUAACUCAUUUUGGAUCAGUAUCUACACUGUGAAUUAAGAGGACAUACAGGCCAAAGCUGUAGUAGCCCCAGCCAAGUCCAUAGAUGUCAUUUCAACUUUGGGGAGUGGGGGACACAAUAAUAGUACCAUCUAAUACAACAUGAUAAUAUUGGGGGGGUGCAUUUGAUGUUGGUCCACUCCCAAUAUUAUGCAUCUAUUACGGCACCUAACUUUAUGUUGUAGGUUUAUGUAUUUAUAACUACUAAGUCAGUUAUGUAUUAACUGCUACUAUCAGUUGUGAACCUAAUGACUUGCCGUCCGCUGUGUUAUCUGAACCUGUGUGUAAGCACGUAUGUGAGUCACUCUGGAUAAGAGUGUCUCUUAAAUGCCUGAAUUUAUGCAAAGUUUUAAGAAGAACCGAGGCAGGCAGUGUUGUGUUUCUCUAAUAUAAAGACAUAGGAUGGCCUGGUUGUCUCUCUGAAGAAGAGCAGGUUGCGGAAAUGAGUCACUCCGUGAAAAAAGGAGCUUUUCCUGCAGGAACCUCCCUUAAUCAGCAUUGUCCCUCUAUGAAAACACCCCUUCAAGAGAGGAGCACUGCAAACAUGUUAACUACUUCCUGUAUUUCACUGAUGCAAAAACUGCAGUCAGGAGGCACAAACUACGCCAGUGCAGUCAAUUGUCUUGAGUGUCAAUUUUUAUUUGGGGAAUAAAGUGCUGAUGGUGAAA